This 305-nucleotide ribosomal RNA is filed under the name uncultured bacterium. RNAcentral's name for it is "bacterial SSU rRNA". It matches the Rfam family "Bacterial small subunit ribosomal RNA", at positions 338 to 660 of the family's 1533-position model. The record is from RNAcentral.
CCUACGGGAGGCAGCAGUGGGGAAUAUUGCACAAUGGGGGAAACCCUGAUGCAGCAACGCCGCGUGAGUGAAGAAGUAUUUCGGUAUGUAAAGCUCUAUCAGCAGGGAAGAAGAUGACGGUACCUGAUUAAGAAGCCCCGGCUAACUACGUGCCAGCAGCCGCGGUAAUACGUAGGUGGCGAGCGUUGUCCGGAUUUACUGGGCGUAAAGGGAGCGUAGGCGGACUUUUAAGUGAGAUGUGAAAUACUCGGGCUCAACUUGAGUGCUGCAUUUCAAACUGGAAGUCUAGAGUGCAGGAGAGGAGA